UAAUUUUGAAGUAAUACCAUCCAUACUGAAAGGGGUUGUAGUGGGACAGUCUCAGAUUCAGCUUCAUUGAUGCCAUAUCCUGUUAUUUAAUAGUGCAAAGUACAAUUUAACAGUUCUAAUAAUGGAUCAUUGUUGGUAACCUGCAGGUGUUUUUGACAGAAAACUCGAAACUAGAAUACUAAUAAUGGAAGUAGCUGGAGGCAGAAGAAAAUAUGGGAUGUGCAAACAUAAAAAGAAAUAGAAAACCUCAAAUAACAAAGGCGGGAAGAAUGAAAUCAUCCACAAGACAAAACAAUUUUAAGAGAGCUGAUUCUUUUUUGUGAGAGCGCUGUUACUCCCCUUCCCACACUUGAAGUUCUCCCUUACACAAGUAGGUAAUUUUUGCAGAUGCCUGGCAAAAUCAAAUUGUAGUGACAAUUUGAUCUUAUACAUCCAUCACUGGGACUGCAGUCUGUUGUUAAAGGAGAGUGGACUUGCUCAAAUAGAUUUUUUCUGUCUCCCUCUGCUAUGAUUAUCCACUUUAUACAUCUCAAUACCAAUAGAAAAGGUCAUCCUAGUUCAGAAAAUGUUGGCUAAUAACCAUGUAAAGACAGAAAGACUGCAGAAAAUGCUGUCCCCCAGGUUUGAGACAACAACUUGAACCAAUGCCUAGUCUGUAUAGAGGAACAGAUUUGUCUGAAAGAACCCAAAAAACGAGAGUACAUAUCAGAAUGCAGAUUUGUUGAGGAAUUUUUAAUUAUUUUUGAAGGAAUUGGAGGUUCCAUCUUGUCUCCAAACUAUAGCUGAGAACAGAGUUCACAGUGAGUAAAUUCAGGUAAAAGCAGCAUUCAGUGUUUUGCGGUAGAGUUCCAAAUUCUACUUAAUAGUAUGUAAAGAAUUAUUUGCAAGAACUCCUCUUUUACAGCAUGUGAUGUAAAACUGUACCUAACACAGCACAUAAGUUGUAGGACUGUUAUUUACUUGUUGUGUAGUUUUGGUUAUUAAUUUAGUGAAGUACGGUUCUCCAUGAAACUUUCCAGUGAGAUGUAAAAGUACACUUCACUAAAGAUGAUUUAGCAUCUUCUCGCGCUAGUUCUUAGCAGCCCAGGAUCAUCUGCCCUCUCAUCUCAUUCCCACCUUGUUUUCAAAACUCUGUUCUGGGCAAGAGAAGUUAAAUCUGCUUUCUUGCCUACGUUUGCCAGGCAUUCUGUAUGUCUUGGUAACUUUCCAAAUUGUCCAGUGGCACCAAGAAAUGAAGAGACAACUAAUUCUUGAUUAGUGAUAACAGCAGCACAUCAGCAGCUAAUUAAACAAAACUGGCCACCUGUCUGCCCCUCCUGUUGA
RNAcentral lists this long non-coding RNA (1323 nucleotides) under Calidris pygmaea (Spoon-billed sandpiper). Its description in RNAcentral is "lncRNA (ENSCPGG00000017585.1)". The record is from RNAcentral. Lineage: Eukaryota; Metazoa; Chordata; Aves; Charadriiformes; Scolopacidae.